AUUGAACGCUGGCGGCAGGCCUAACACAUGCAAGUCGAGCGGAUGAAGGGAGCUUGCUCCUGGAUUCAGCGGCGGACGGGUGAGUAAUGCCUAGGAAUCUGCCUGGUAGUGGGGGAUAACGUCCGGAAACGGGCGCUAAUACCGCAUACGUCCUGAGGGAGAAAGUGGGGGAUCUUCGGACCUCACGCUAUCAGAUGAGCCUAGGUCGGAUUAGCUAGUUGGUGGGGUAAAGGCCUACCAAGGCGACGAUCCGUAACUGGUCUGAGAGGAUGAUCAGUCACACUGGAACUGAGACACGGUCCAGACUCCUACGGGAGGCAGCAGUGGGGAAUAUUGGACAAUGGGGGAAAGCCUGGUCCAGCCAUGCCGCGUGUGUGAAGAAGGUCUUCGGAUUGUAAAGCACUUUAAGUUGGGAGAAAGGGAAGUAAGUUAAUACCUUGCUGUUUUGACGUUACCAACAGAAUAAGCACCGGCUAACUUCGUG
RNAcentral lists this ribosomal RNA (484 nucleotides) under uncultured bacterium. Its description in RNAcentral is "partial 16S ribosomal RNA". It matches the Rfam family "Bacterial small subunit ribosomal RNA", at positions 30 to 507 of the family's 1533-position model. The record is from RNAcentral.